RNAcentral lists this ribosomal RNA (1313 nucleotides) under Bifidobacterium animalis. RNAcentral describes it as "bacterial SSU rRNA". It matches the Rfam family "Bacterial small subunit ribosomal RNA", at positions 83 to 1343 of the family's 1533-position model. The record is from RNAcentral. Lineage: Bacteria; Bacillati; Actinomycetota; Actinomycetes; Bifidobacteriales; Bifidobacteriaceae. RNAcentral also lists the same sequence under 2 other names.
GUCGGGGUGAGAGUGGCGAACGGGUGAGUAAUGCGUGACCAACCUGCCCUGUGCACCGGAAUAGCUCCAGGAAACGGGUGGUAAUACCGGAUGCUCCGCUCCAUCGCAUGGGUGGGGUGGGAAAUGCUUUUGCGGCAUGGGAUGGGGUCGCGUCCUAUCAGCUUGUUGGCGGGGUGAUGGCCCACCAAGGCGUUGACGGGUAGCCGGCCUGAGAGGGUGACCGGCCACAUUGGGACUGAGAUACGGCCCAGACUCCUACGGGAGGCAGCAGUGGGGAAUAUUGCACAAUGGGCGCAAGCCUGAUGCAGCGACGCCGCGUGCGGGAUGGAGGCCUUCGGGUUGUAAACCGCUUUUGUUCAAGGGCAAGGCACGGUUUCGGCCGUGUUGAGUGGAUUGUUCGAAUAAGCACCGGCUAACUACGUGCCAGCAGCCGCGGUAAUACGUAGGGUGCGAGCGUUAUCCGGAUUUAUUGGGCGUAAAGGGCUCGUAGGCGGUUCGUCGCGUCCGGUGUGAAAGUCCAUCGCCUAACGGUGGAUCUGCGCCGGGUACGGGCGGGCUGGAGUGCGGUAGGGGAGACUGGAAUUCCCGGUGUAACGGUGGAAUGGCGGGCUGGAGUGCGGUAGGGGAGACUGGAAUUCCCGGUGUAACGGUGGAAUGUGUAGAUAUCGGGAAGAACACCAAUGGCGAAGGCAGGUCUCUGGGCCGUCACUGACGCUGAGGAGCGAAAGCGUGGGGAGCGAACAGGAUUAGAUACCCUGGUAGUCCACGCCGUAAACGGUGGAUGCUGGAUGUGGGGCCCUUUCCACGGGUCCCGUGUCGGAGCCAACGCGUUAAGCAUCCCGCCUGGGGAGUACGGCCGCAAGGCUAAAACUCAAAGAAAUUGACGGGGGCCCGCACAAGCGGCGGAGCAUGCGGAUUAAUUCGAUGCAACGCGAAGAACCUUACCUGGGCUUGACAUGUGCCGGAUCGCCGUGGAGACACGGUUUCCCUUCGGGGCCGGUUCACAGGUGGUGCAUGGUCGUCGUCAGCUCGUGUCGUGAGAUGUUGGGUUAAGUCCCGCAACGAGCGCAACCCUCGCCGCAUGUUGCCAGCGGGUGAUGCCGGGAACUCAUGUGGGACCGCCGGGGUCAACUCGGAGGAAGGAGGGGAUGACGUCAGAUCAUCAUGCCCCUUACGUCCAGGGCUUCACGCAUGCUUCAAUGGCCGGUACAACGCGGUGCGACACGGUGACGUGGGGCGGAUCGCUGAAAACCGGUCUCAGUUCGGAUCGCAGUCUGCAACUCGACUGCGUGAAGGCGGAGUCGCUAGUAAUC